Long non-coding RNA from Cyprinodon tularosa, 223 nucleotides. RefSeq lists it as uncharacterized. The transcript has 2 exons. The record is from RefSeq and is a predicted model, not a curated record. NCBI's taxonomy places the organism in Eukaryota, Metazoa, Chordata, Actinopteri, Cyprinodontiformes, Cyprinodontidae.
CUAGUAAAACCAAGUCAAGGUCAGAAACUCACGAGUCAGAAGCUAGACGCUGCUGCUGCUGAGCUCCCUGCUGAAUCCAUAGUCUCUGGACCCAACCGGUUCCCCCCCCUCUCAAAGGAUCUGCCAGAACCUCUCCAAGAUAUCAGUGAUUCCAGUCCCGGACCUGUACCAGAACUAGUUCAUAUUUCUCUGUGUGUGCCUUUAAUAAACUGUUGAACUUUUA